GUACGGAAGGCAGCAGGUGGGGAAUAUUGCACAAUGGGCGCAAGCCUGAUGCAGCCAUGCCGCGUGUAUGAAGAAGGCCUUCGGGUUGUAAAGUACUUUCAGUCGUGAGGAAGGUGUUAAGGUUAAUAACCUUAGCAAUUGACGUUAGCGACAGAAGAAGCACCGGCUAACUCCGUGCCAGCAGCCGCGGUAAUACGGAGGGUGCGAGCGUUAAUCGGAAUUACUGGGCGUAAAGGGCACGCAGGCGGUUAAUUAAGUUGGAUGUGAAAUCCCCGGGCUUAACCUGGGAAUGGCAUUCAAGACUGGUUAGCUAGAGUCUUGUAGAGGGGGUAGGAAUUCCAUGUGUAGCGGUGAAAUGCGUAGAGAUGUGGAGGAAUACCGGUGGCGAAGGCGGCCCCUGGCAAAAGACUGACGCUCAUGUGCGAAAGCGUGGGGAGGCAAACAGGAUUAGAUACC
RNAcentral lists this ribosomal RNA (456 nucleotides) under uncultured bacterium. RNAcentral describes it as "bacterial SSU rRNA". It matches the Rfam family "Bacterial small subunit ribosomal RNA", at positions 339 to 786 of the family's 1533-position model. The record is from RNAcentral.